Long non-coding RNA from Nanorana parkeri, 92 nucleotides. RefSeq lists it as uncharacterized. Lineage: Eukaryota; Metazoa; Chordata; Amphibia; Anura; Dicroglossidae. The transcript has 3 exons. The record is from RefSeq and is a predicted model, not a curated record.
UACAUAUUUACAUAUUAACAUAGUAAGUAAGGUUGACUAAAGACACAGGUCCAUCCAGUUCAACGUGUGUGUGUGUGUGUGUGUGUGUGUGU